CCUACGGGUGGCAGCAGUGGGGAAUAUUGCACAAUGGGGGAAACCCUGAUGCAGCAACGCCGCGUGAAGGAAGACGGUUCUCGGAUUGUUAACUUCUGUCCUUAGUGAAGAAUAAUGACGGUAACUAAGGAGCAAGCAACGGCUAACUCCGUGCUAGCAGCCGCGGUACUACGUAGGGGGCAAGCGUUGUCCGGAGUUACUGGGUGUAAAGGGAGAGCAGGCGGGAAGACAAGUCAGCUGUGAAAACUACAGGCUUAACUUGUAGAUUGCAGUUGAAACUGGUUUUCUUGAGUAAAGUAGAGGUUGGCGGAAUUCGUGGUGUAGCGGUGAAAUGCGUAGAUAUUCGGAGGAACACCGAUGGCGAAGGCAGCCAACUAAGCUUUAACUGACGCUGAGGCUUGAAAGUGUGGGGAGCAAACAGGAUUAGAUACCCGAGUAGUC
This 441-nucleotide ribosomal RNA is filed under the name uncultured bacterium. RNAcentral describes it as "partial 16S ribosomal RNA". It matches the Rfam family "Bacterial small subunit ribosomal RNA", at positions 338 to 795 of the family's 1533-position model. The record is from RNAcentral.